Molecule: long non-coding RNA, 522 nt
Organism: Passer domesticus (house sparrow)
Lineage: Eukaryota; Metazoa; Chordata; Aves; Passeriformes; Passeridae
Exons: 3
Source: RefSeq, a predicted model, not a curated record
CACCUAGAACACACUGGCUCUGUGAGGGCACCAAGCCUUUGUGCCAAUAACAGCAGUGUUCUAAACAUAGCCUGAAUUCCUGUCAAGGAAAUCAGUUUGCAUCUUAGCAAAACAAAAGUUCUUGAAAGUUUGAAAACUGUGGGAAACCUGUUAAAGGCCAUACUGAACUACCCAGGAGGCUGAGGGACAUAAAAGGAAAAGCUUCCAAGCUGUUCAGUCUGCUAUCUCACAUGACAACUACUGCCAGAAACAGCCAGCUUCCUUUGGUGAGCAGAGGGGUGGGAAACAUGGCAAGGAAGAGGACUUCAGAUGCUGGCCAGGUCCAGAAGAGCCCUGAGCUUUGCCACAAGAAACAAUGUAAGGUUUGUCACAGAGUGAAGUGCCCAACACCACGGAAGAAAUGGAAAACAUUCCCUGCUUCCUUUGACCACGUAACACUCCAAGACACUCAGAAAGGUUUGGAAAGCACUCAGUAUCACAGUUCUUGUUCUAAUAAACAGACUUUUCUUUCUGUAGGCCUGA